RNAcentral lists this ribosomal RNA (1943 nucleotides) under Tomoberthella martensi. RNAcentral describes it as "SSU rRNA". It matches the Rfam family "Eukaryotic small subunit ribosomal RNA". The record is from RNAcentral. Lineage: Eukaryota; Metazoa; Mollusca; Gastropoda; Pleurobranchida; Pleurobranchidae.
UCUCUGUCAGCUCCUAGCACGAGUAAACCGCGAACGGCUCAUUAAAUCAGUCGAGGUUCCUUAGGUGACGCGGGUUGAUCCUACUCGGAUAACUGUGGCAAACCCAGAGCUAAUACGUGCAACCAGGCCCCGACCCCCUAGGGGAAGGGGCGCUUAUAUCAGUUCCAAAGCCAGCCCGGCGCCGGCCGCGGUGUACUCCGCGGACCCGGCCCGGUCUAACGUUUCGGUGAACUCCGGGUAUCUCUCGACCGAUCGCAGCGAGACCACGAGUCGGCGACGCACCUUUCAAAUGUCUGCCCUAUCAAAUCGAUGGUAGGGUAAACGCCUACCAUGUUUACGACGGGUGACGGGGAAUCAGGGUUCGAUUCCGGAGAGGGAGCAUGAGAAACGGCUACCACAUCCAAGGAAGGCAGCAGGCGCGCAAAUUACCCACUCCCGGCUCGGGGAGGUAGUGACGAAAAAUAACAAUACGGGACUCUAUCGAGGCCCCGUAAUUGAAAUGAGUGCACUUUAAAACCAUUCACGAGGAUCGAUCGGAGGGCAAGUCUGGUGCCAGCAGCCGCGGUAAUUCCAGCUCCGAUAGCGUAUACCAAAUUUGUUGCAGUUAAAAAGCUCGUAGUUGGAUCUCAGGUGCAGGCGGGCGGCGGUCCGGCCUCGGCCGGCAACCGCCCGUGCGGGCCGCUUCCCGAGAUCGUCGGCGGCGUCACGUCGAUCGUGCCGGACCGAGGUGCUUGCGCGGUAGGUUGGCGCGCGGGGGGGAUMGCGUUCGUCGCGCCUCUCGCCGCCUCCUCCUCCKCCUGGCCCUCCGGGAUGGCCGGUGUCUGUGCGUUUCGCCAGCCCGUCGGUCGCCCCGGGUCGGCCGACGCUUCGCUGCACCUGCCUCGGUCGGCUCCGAUCCCGGCGGCGCUCUUGGUUGAGCGCCCGGCCGGGCGGCCGGCGAUUUUACUUUGAAAAAAUUAGAGUGCUCAAAGCGGGCGUGCUCGCCGCUCGGAUAAUAUCGCAUGGAAUAAUGGAACAGGACCUCGCCGGUUUUGUUUCGCUGGUCUUUCGUAACCCGAGGUAAUGAUUAACAGGGACUGCCGGGGGCAUUCGUAUUGCGGGGGGAGAGGUGAAAUUCUGUGAUCCUCGCAAGACGUCCUACUGCGAAAGCAUUUGUCAAGAAUGUUUUCUUUAAUCAAGAACGAAAGUCAGAGGCGCGAAGACGAUCAGAUACCGUCGUAGUUCUGACCAUAAACUAUGCCGCGCGCAGAUCCGUAGGCAUUUCUAAGGGAUCUUGCGGGCAUCCCUCCGGGAAACCGUACGUUCGGGGUUCCGGGGGGAGUACGGUUGCAAAGCUGAAACUUAAAGGAAUUGACGGAAGGGCACCACCAGGAGUGGAGCCUGCGGCUUAAUUUGACUCAACACGGGAAAACUCACCCGGUCCGGACACCGCCAGGAUUGACAGAUUGAAAGCUCUUUCUUGAUUCGGUGGGUGGUGGUGCAUGGCCGUUCUUAGUUGGUGGAGCGAUUUGUCUGGUUGAUUCCGAUAACGAACGAGACUCUGGCCUAUUAACUAGUCCGGCGGCGAAUAUCCCCCGGUGUUCCGUUUGGGGCCCGGGGGCGCCGUCGACGACUUCUUAGAGGGACAAGCGGCGUUCAGCCGUCCGAGAUUGAGCGAUAACAGGUCUGUGAUGCCCUUAGAUGUCCGGGGCCGCACGCGCGCUACACUGAAGGCAUCAGCGGGCCGACCUUCCCCAGCCCGAAAGGGCCGGGAAACCCGUUGAAUCGCCUUCGUGCUAGGGAUCGGGGUUUGCAAUUGUUCCCCGUGAACGAGGAAUUCCCAGUAGGGGCGAGUCAUCAGCCGGCCCCGAUUACGUCCCUGCCCUUUGUACACACCGCCCGUCGCUACUAUCGAUUGAGCAGUUUAGUGAGGGCCUCGGAUCGGUGCAUGGCGGUCGCCGAGG